Molecule: ribosomal RNA, 301 nt
Filed under: uncultured bacterium
Lineage: Bacteria
Description: partial 16S ribosomal RNA
Rfam family: Bacterial small subunit ribosomal RNA
Source: RNAcentral
CAGUCGCCACGGUAAUACGUAGGGUGCAAGCGUUAAUCGGAAUUACUGGGCGUAAAGCGUGCGCAGGCGGUUUGUUAAGACAGAUGUGAAAUCCCCGGGCUCAACCUGGGAACUGCAUUUGUGACUGGCAAGCUAGAGUCUGGCAGAGGGGGGCGGAAUUCCGCGUGUAGCAGUGAAAUGCGUAGAUAUGCGGAGGAACACCGAUGGCGAAGGCAGCCCCCUGGGCCAACACUGACGCUCAUGCACGAAAGCGUGGGGAGCAAACAGGAUUAGAUACCCCAGUAGUCCCUGUCUCUUAUAC